This 322-nucleotide ribosomal RNA is filed under the name uncultured eukaryote. RNAcentral's name for it is "partial 18S ribosomal RNA". It matches the Rfam family "Eukaryotic small subunit ribosomal RNA", at positions 1470 to 1796 of the family's 1831-position model. The record is from RNAcentral.
CCCUUAGAUGUUCUGGGCCGCACGCGUGCUACACUGAGUAAAUCAAUGGGUAAGGGAACACGAAAGUGCAACCUAAUCUUGAAAUUUGCUCGUGAUGGGGAUCGACGGUUGCAAUUUUCCGUCGUGAACGAGGAAUACCUUGUAGGCGCGUGCCAUCAUCACGCGCCGAAUACGUCCCUGCCCUUUGUACACACCGCCCGUCGCUCCUACCGAUUGAGUGAUCCGGUGAGGCUCUGGGACCUGGACGGAAAGAGCGUUUCGCUUGUUCUGUUUGGGAAACUUGGUCGAACCUUAUCAUUUAGAGGAAGGAGAAGUCGUAACA